RNAcentral lists this ribosomal RNA (706 nucleotides) under uncultured Enterobacteriaceae bacterium. RNAcentral's name for it is "bacterial SSU rRNA". It matches the Rfam family "Bacterial small subunit ribosomal RNA", at positions 795 to 1502 of the family's 1533-position model. Lineage: Bacteria; Pseudomonadati; Pseudomonadota; Gammaproteobacteria; Enterobacterales; Enterobacteriaceae. The record is from RNAcentral.
UCACGCUGUAAACGAUGUCGAUUUGGAGUUUGUUGCCUAGAGUGAUGGGCUCCGAAGCUAACGCGAUAAAUCGACCACUGGGGAGUACGGCCGCAAGGUUAAAACUCAAAUGAAUUGACGGGGGCCCGCACAAGCGGUGGAGCAUGUGGUUUAAUUCGAUGCAACGCGAAGAACCUUACCUGGUCUUGACAUCCAUAGAAUUCUGCAGAGAUGUGGGAGUGCCUUCGGGAACUAUGAGACAGGUGCUGCAUGGCUGUCGUCAGCUCGUGUUGUGAAAUGUUGGGUUAAGUCCCGCAACGAGCGCAACCCUUAUUCUUUGUUGCCAGCGAUUUGGUCGGGAACUCAAAGGAGACUGCCGUUGAUAAAGCGGAGGAAGGUGGGGACGACGUCAAGUCAUCAUGGCCCUUACGACCAGGGCUACACACGUGCUACAAUGGCGUAUACAAAGGGAAGCGAAGGUGCGAGCUGGAGCGGAUCUCAUAAAGUACGUCUAAGUUCGGAUUGGAGUCUGCAACUCGACUCCAUGAAGUCGGAAUCGCUAGUAAUCGUAGAUCAGAAUGCUACGGUGAAUACGUUCCCGGGCCUUGUACACACCGCCCGUCACACCAUGGGAGUGGGUUGCACCAGAAGUAGAUAGCUUAACCGCGAGGGGGGCGUUUACCACGGUGUGAUUCAUGACUGGGGUGAAGUCGUAACAAGGUAACCA